CCGGCCUUGACAUCCCCACGGAUGCAGGGUAAUGCCUGCAGCCCUCCGGGGCGUGGGAGACAGGUGGUGCAUGGUUGUCGUCAGCUCGUGUCGUGAGAUGUUGGGUUAAGUCCCGCAACGAGCGCAACCCCUGCCGUCAGUAGCCAGCGAGUAAAGUCGGGCACUCUGAUGGGACAGCCUGGGAUAACCAGGAGGAAGGCGGGGAUGACGUCAAAUCACCAUGCCCCUUAUGGCCGGGGCUACACACGUGCUACAAUGGCGUAAACAGAGGGAAGCGAGACAGCGAUGUAAAGCAAAGCCCAAAAACAGCGCCUCAGUUCGGAUUGCAGCCUGCAACUCGGCUGCAUGAAGCCGGAAUCGCUAGUAAUCGCGGAUCAGAAUGCCGCGGUGAAUACGUUCCC
RNAcentral lists this ribosomal RNA (401 nucleotides) under uncultured bacterium. RNAcentral describes it as "bacterial SSU rRNA". It matches the Rfam family "Bacterial small subunit ribosomal RNA", at positions 975 to 1375 of the family's 1533-position model. The record is from RNAcentral.